Molecule: long non-coding RNA, 1137 nt
Filed under: Canis lupus familiaris (dog)
Lineage: Eukaryota; Metazoa; Chordata; Mammalia; Carnivora; Canidae
Description: lncRNA (ENSCAFG00000058986.1)
Source: RNAcentral
GCCGGAGGCGUCCCCGGGGCCGCGGGCAGCAGGGGGGCGACAGGCGCUGGCCGGACCCGGCGGCGGGGCUGGGGCACAGCGGCUCCGCUCGGAGGCCCCCUGACCCAGGGCACGUGUCUCCGCCGCCCGCCGCGAGGGGGGCUGUCACCCGGGGCCCCGCAGGAGCCGAGGCCACCGAAGCGGCCCGGCCAAGGUUUCCCAGGGGGCCGCGCCCGGGCGGGCAGGUCUCGGGUCCUUGGCCACCCUGCCCCGCCCUGCCCCGCCGCCCAUCAGGGCCUCCCCACCUCUGACCCACCCUGGCCAGGCUCUCCCCGCGUCCCCUCCGCUGUCGCUUCUCUCCAAUUUGAAAACUCAAUUUAAAACACAACCGUGAUCCAGGUGCCUUGGACGUAAGCCCCAUGACCCUUGAGGCCCUGGACAGCUGGGUCCUGUGCGCAUCCCCGCCCUCACCCAAACUGGGGCCAGAUAACAGCCCCUGCAGCCUCUCAAUCCCCUCUGGACCCUAACCCAUGCCGCCCCAUCAGGACCCUGACCCAAACAGCUUCUGUCCCCCAAGGAGUCCCCUCUUCCAGGAAGCCUCCUAGGGAAGACCAACGCUGCAGAGGCCUUGGCCCAAGGCCCAGGGGAGCGGGGCCACACAGUGCCAACAGCCAGGGCCUAUGGAGGUCCAGAACGCCCAGACCCAGGCUUCCCAAGCAGGUGGGCAGGUGCACGGAGGGCUUCUCGUGAGCACCAAGGCUGCCCCGGACUUCGGAACAGGUUUGUGAGGAGACACAACUGGAGCGUGAAAAGCUCCAGCAGGUGUGUAGGCUGCCCAAGGCAGGUGUGUGAAAGGUGGCCCCGGGUGGGGGGAGGUCAGAGACAAGGAAGUGAGCGGAAUGGGAGGCACUGCCAGCCGGUGGGGACAAGGUGGGGAGCAGGGCGGGCUCGUGCACCCUUGAGCCACCACAGGCUGGGGGCAGGCGUGGCCCGCUCAGCCGGGGCUGGGUAGGGUCCCAGAGACCUGCCGGGGGUGGGGGGCCCCAGUGCUGCCGGCCCACUUCCCCGUGCGGGCAUGCACUACCCCCUGGCAGAGGUGUCCCCCACCAAAGGGCACCCGGACCCCCUCCCCGGCCUCCCCACUUCUGAGUCCCCAGG